This 449-nucleotide ribosomal RNA is filed under the name uncultured bacterium. RNAcentral describes it as "bacterial SSU rRNA". It matches the Rfam family "Bacterial small subunit ribosomal RNA", at positions 355 to 825 of the family's 1533-position model. The record is from RNAcentral.
UGAGGAAUAUUGCACAAUGGGGGCAACCCUGAUGCAGCGACGCCGCGUGGGUGAUGAAGGUUUUCGGAUCGUAAAGCCCUUUUCUGCAUGACGAGCACAGGACGGUAGUGCAGGAAUAAGUGUCGGCUAACUACGUGCCAGCAGCCGCGGUAAAACGUAGGACACAAGCGUUAUCCGGAAUUACUGGGCGUAAAGGGCGUGCAGGCGGUUGCGUAAGUUAGGCGUGAAAGACUUCGGCUAAACCGGGGGAGGUCGUCUGAUACUGCGCAACUAGAGUAUGGUAGAGGCGUGUAGAAUUCCGGGUGUAGUGGUGAAAUGCGUAGAGAUCCGGAGGAAUACCAGUGGCGAAGGCGGCACGCUGGGCCAUAACUGACGCUAAGACGCGAAAGCAUGGGUAGCGAACGGGAUUAGAUACCCCCGUAGUCCCUGAGCGGGCUGGCAAGGCGCAU